GACAGACUAUUGGAAAUGACUGUUGGAAAAUAUGUCCCAAAAGUCAAUCGUCAAACUGUUGACGGUUGAACAACCAAGUAUUGUAAUUGAUUUGUUAAUAAAUAAAAUAUAUUUAUCAUCUUCAUCAUAAGCUUUCAUCUUCUAAUGAACUCCGUUGUUAUGAUGAAGUCCUUAGGACUAUUUAAGUUCGAUAAAGAGAGGAUUUAUUGAUUAGUCCUUAAAACUG
RNAcentral lists this long non-coding RNA (226 nucleotides) under Elaeis guineensis (African oil palm). RNAcentral's name for it is "long non-coding RNA (EGUI_LNC049221)". Lineage: Eukaryota; Viridiplantae; Streptophyta; Magnoliopsida; Arecales; Arecaceae. The record is from RNAcentral.